This 2217-nucleotide long non-coding RNA is filed under the name Coffea arabica (coffee). RNAcentral describes it as "long non-coding RNA (CARA_LNC004064)". The record is from RNAcentral. Lineage: Eukaryota; Viridiplantae; Streptophyta; Magnoliopsida; Gentianales; Rubiaceae.
UCCAUAUUUACAGCAGAUACACAUCUUAAAUGCACUGCCAAGAAUUAGGACAAUCUUUAUCAGUCUCUUCACAGGCUCAAAAAUGGUAACUACGUACAAUGAGAUUUCAAUAGCAACACACCCUGUCAAGAAACAAAAGCUGUAUGAUUUCAUUAGGCACAAAAAGCAACCAAGGUCCAAAUUAGAGAAAUUACAGAGAGGCAUAUCAUAUAAGCACCCCAAGAAUGUUUAAGGAAAAAGAUCAAAUAAAAAAAACCAAACUGUCCGAAUAGAAAUAACUGAUUUUGAGGAAUGAUAAACCUAAGACGAGAACUCCACAAUUAGAUUUUUUUUUUUUUGGCUUAUAAAACUCCAGAUAAGCAAGUUAAUAUCAGCUCUAGCAAUUGAGUAUCACAUAGCCAGCACAACAUUACUUACAAGAUAACAAUUGCUUGCUAAGUCAUUAAAACCUAAAAACCAGGGCACUAAGUUGGUUUAGAAAUUUGACAUUAAAAAUAUAAACAUCACUUAUCAGUACAUAUUCAACCAAUGGUGCAGAAGCUUCCUUGCAAUUGCCCCGUCUUAAAACAGAAAAUAAUUCAAACACAUGUAGAGUCCUUACUUUACAAAAUAUUCUUUGGUAUAAAAGUAAGAAGUAAGAUCAUAAACAUUCACCACCAUGUAGUAAGGAAACCGAGUGCACACAGAGUCGCAUAAGAGGCAACUAGAGGAAGGACACAGAAUGGCAAUUCUCAAUUUCAUUAUCCUUAAUUAUAAGAGAAGAAAGAAAAAGGACGCAAUUUCGAGGAGGCCAGGUCUCAAAGGAAGCAUCAGUUUUUUCUCCUUGAAACAAUCUACUGGAGCUUUCAUGUAAGUAGGGUUCUUUAUGGGCUACAAGAUACUCAUUGAACGCCCACCUAAAGCCUACUCAUUAUUUUAUGUCCAUAUUUACAGCAGAUACACAUCUUAAAUGCACUGCCAAGAAUUAGGACAAUCUUUAUCAGUCUCUUCACAGGCUCAAAAAUGGUAACUACGUACAAUGAGAUUUCAAUAGCAACACACCCUGUCAAGAAACAAAAGCUGUAUGAUUUCAUUAGGCACAAAAAGCAACCAAGGUCCAAAUUAGAGAAAUUACAGAGAGGCAUAUCAUAUAAGCACCCCAAGAAUGUUUAAGGAAAAAGAUCAAAUAAAAAAAACCAAACUGUCCGAAUAGAAAUAACUGAUUUUGAGGAAUGAUAAACCUAAGACGAGAACUCCACAAUUAGAUUUUUUUUUUUUUGGCUUAUAAAACUCCAGAUAAGCAAGUUAAUAUCAGCUCCAUCAAGGAAUCAAUAUCAGCUUUCUCAAAUCAAAACUAUUCUCAAGCAAUAAAGGUCCGCAUCCCAGUGUUACUACAAAAAAUCAAGAAUUCUUAAUCACCUAAAGGACUGGCUUUUGCAUAUAAAGACAUCUUCAACUGUCAAAAAAGCUCCAUAUACAUAAAUGAACGAGAUUUCCAUGAUCCAACCACAUUAUCUAUGUUACUUGAUACAGAUUAAACACAUGCUUCUUCAAAAACAAUUACCUUCUGAACAUAGCAAGCAAAAUGACAUUCUCAGAAUCAGAAUACAAAUACCUCACCAAACCUAACGCACAAAAUGACAUUCCACACACGCACGCACGCACACGCACAUAUAUAAAUAUAUAUAUGCACAUAUCCAUGCAAAUAUACAUUUUCCCACACAUACAAAUGGCCAUGUUAAAUUCCAAUAACACAAUUGCUACAAUGUUUUCCGCACUAGUAAGUCUGCCAAACAUCAAAUUUAAAAAUUUGACAGUCAAGACCAGCUCGAACACAACUCAUGCCUUCCAUAAUCACUUGCAAAACUUUAGCUAAAAAAUGCAAAACCCAAAAAGUAUCUUUAUCCCUAACAUACGAAUUAAAUCCAAAACUAUGUCAAAAUAUACAAAACUUGUUAAAGAAUCAUCACCGAACAGCUUCACUUAUACCUGGAACCAUAAAAAUCCCAAAACUUUCUAAUCAGUCCACUAAAUUAACUCAGAAUUAGGCACAAAUUCACCACACAUUCGACAUACUCCUAAAACUUAACAAGCCCAGAAAAAUAAAUUUAAAAAAUUAGUUGUAUGCACCAAAAAUCCAAUCUUAAAGCAAUGAACAGCUGGACAAUUCAGGUAAACAUGGACAGAAACCACAAAACCCUAGAUCUGAUAUUUGAAAAUUUCUAAAUAGAUAAAAUU